RNAcentral lists this ribosomal RNA (492 nucleotides) under uncultured bacterium. RNAcentral describes it as "partial 16S ribosomal RNA". It matches the Rfam family "Bacterial small subunit ribosomal RNA", at positions 29 to 507 of the family's 1533-position model. The record is from RNAcentral.
AGUGAACGCUGGCGGUAGGCCUAACACAUGCCAGUCGAACGGCAGCACAGUAAGAGCUUGCUCUUACGGGUGGCGAGUGGCGGACGGGUGAGGAAUACAUCGGAAUCUACUUUUUCGUGGGGGAUAACGUAGGGAAACUUACGCUAAUACCGCGUACGACCUACGGGUGAAAGCAGGGGAUCUUCGGACCUUGCGCGAUUGAAUGAGCCGAUGUCGGAUUAGCUAGUUGGCGGGGUAAAGGCCCACCAAGGCGACGAUCCGUAGCUGGUCUGAGAGGAUGAUCAGCCACACUGGAACUGAGACACGGUCCAGACUCCUACGGGAGGCAGCAGUGGGGAAUAUUGGACAAUGGGCGCAAGCCUGAUCCAGCCAUACCGCGUGGGUGAAGAAGGCCUUCGGGUUGUAAAGCCCUUUUGUUGGGAAAGAAAAGCAGCAGGUUAAUACCCCGCUGUUCUGACGGUACCCAAAGAAUAAGCACCGGCUAACUUCGUG